AUGCCCAGGCUGGGGCUCGCCCUCGGUUUGCUCUCCCCGGGCAGCCGGCAGCGGGACCGGGCCGUGCGGGUGCCCAGCGGGGCUGCCGGGCCCACCCCGGCUCACACUUGUGGGGUUCAACUCCCAGCUCGGCUGCACCGAGCUCUCUCAGCUCUGUUUCCAGCCUCGCAGCGAGGGCUGCUCCCUGGCCGCAGCGGCGGAGCAGUGACUGUGCAGAACAGGGAGCGCCCGGCUGUUGUCUCACGCUGCUGCGAGCACUGGGAUGGAGGCAGCCGGCCUCUCCCCGGGGCUGCCGGCCGGCUCGGGAGGCACCGCUGCAUCCCCGACCCCGGGCACGGCUGCAUUUAUCCACCCGCCGUACCGCCGGGGGCUGCCCACAGCCUCUGCUGCACCCGAGCCCCGCGUCGCCCCAGCUGGUGGCACCAACCCAGCGCUCGCGUUUGGAAGCUUUUCUUAGCGUCGCUUUGGCCUAGAAACAAUAUCUCCGAGAAAAAUCAAAGCUUGCGGGUUUGUUUUUUUUUUUUGCCGGCGCUGGAGCGGUCGCGGUGCUUGCCGUGGGUGCGGGAGCCUUGUGCGCGCUGCAGGGCGCCUUGUGCCUGCGGCAGCUCGCUGGGGUGGCACCCGGCACGGGGGAAUGUGUGGUUAUGGGGUGGCACCCGGCACGGGGGAAUGUACGGUGAGCCCCCUCGCACUGCAGCCCUAAACGCCAGGGAAGCAGGGCAGCCGCACGCUUCAGCGCUGUGCAGAAGAGGGAGAGGAGGCGGCGUGCUGGAGCCUCCAGCGCAGGGGAAGGGAACGGCUCAGUGCGCUCUUCAAGGCACCCAGGGGACCCGCGGAGUGCCUCUCCACCAGCUAAUUGUGCUGGCUAAAGUGCAGUGUAACGAGCCGGGAGGAGGAAGCGUGCCCUGCGGUACCACGUGCGGCAAAAGGCGUCUUCCAACAGAGGUCUUCAUCCUUUGCUGCUUCUGCAACCGCCUCCAAAUCCGGUGCCGAGGAGCCCGAAGCCUGCGAUGGUUUGGGAGUGAGAUCCAGCCGAUGCUCUGCUCUGAAAUCACCUGCUGCUGA
This 1065-nucleotide long non-coding RNA is filed under the name Anser cygnoides (Swan goose). RNAcentral's name for it is "lncRNA (ENSACDG00005014994.1)". The record is from RNAcentral. Lineage: Eukaryota; Metazoa; Chordata; Aves; Anseriformes; Anatidae.